This 497-nucleotide ribosomal RNA is filed under the name uncultured bacterium. Its description in RNAcentral is "partial 16S ribosomal RNA". It matches the Rfam family "Bacterial small subunit ribosomal RNA", at positions 28 to 507 of the family's 1533-position model. The record is from RNAcentral.
GAUGAACGCUGGCGGCGUGCCUAAUACAUGCAAGUCGAGCGAACGGACGAGGAUCUUGCCUCUCUGAUGUUAGCGGCGGGCGGGUGAUUAAUACGUGGAUAACCUACCUAUAAGACUGGGAUAACUUAGGGGAACCGUAGCUAACAUCCGAUAAUAUUUUGAACGGGAUGGUUCAACAGUGAUAGACGGACUUGCUGUCACUUAUAGAUGGAUCCGCGCUGCAUUAGCUAGUUGGUAAGGUAACGGCUUACCAAGGCAACGAUGCAUAGCCGACCUGAGAGGGUGAUCGGCCACACUGGAACUGAGACACGGUCCAGACUCCUACGGGAGGCAGCAGUAGGGAAUCUUCCGCAAUGGGCGAAAGCCUGACGGAGCAACGCCGCGUGAGUGAUGAAGGUCUUCGGAUCGUAAAACUCUGUUAUUAGGGAAGAACAUAUGUGUAAGUAACUGUGCACAUCUUGACGGUACCUAAUCAGAAAGCCACGGCUAACUACGUG